CGUAGAGGAGCAGCAGAGUGUCUGUGGUAGGAAAACUAAAAGAGAUGUCUGUCUUCUGCUCUUACAGUAAAUAGCUUUUAUAUACACGGGUAGAAAAAAGAAACAGUAGCUUAGCCUGGCUGUGAAAGCUGUCUCGUCUAGACGUGGUAAACGGGCUACAUUUGAAGUGUUGCCAAAUAAAAGAUGAGUUGUUACUCAAAGGCCUCUUCGCUCUCUUUAUCUCCCCUCAGUCUCUCUCCCCUCUGAAGUUUCUACCUUUCGUUGCUGAUGGCACCUGUUUUUAGAAGGACAAGCAAAAAAGUUACAAUGAAAGAAAUAUUCCUCCAGAGGGGUUUGCAUCCUUCAAUAAACGGAGCUUUUGGUCAGCUGAAUCAUGAAUGUAUAAUAUGAGUUGAAUAAGGUCAGUUAGCAGAAGAAAUCUGCAAACAUUUACACUUUUUAUUCUCCUGUUGUUUUGCUUCUUUCCUGCUUUACUUUAUAUACUUCAACUGCAAAUUUUCAUAAAACUUUAAUGACUCCAUAAUGAAGGUUUGGGAACAUUAAUUGCUUAUGAGUAAUUGAUAUAAUUAGAGGCUUUAAUUUCCAACUAAAACCAAAAGAGAGAGUUCUUCAUCAGGCCUAUAAGAGGAGGAAAAGGACAGAUGUUGGCCUGUUUUAUCAAAUUAUUAAUGUUGUUUUUAUUAUUCAUUUAAUUAAGAUUUGUUCUUUAAUUUGAUUUCACUUGAGCUCAGAUCAACUCCUGUCAUUUUCAUUUGCUGUAAAUGUUACAUUUAUAAUAUUACUGUUUCUAAAUGACUCUGAGUUUAUUGUUUCAGUGAACAGUCACAAUGCGAGCCGGAUAGGUCCCUUUGUAACCAUUUGGGUCAAAGGUGCCUGAUUAAAAGAGGUAAACCAAAAGUUCUUCUGUUAGUUUUGUGUGUCUGACGAAAUUACAGAAUCAGUCACUGCAAAAACUGGCCUUUUUAUUUAGGAGAGGUCAUUUUUUAUUUAUUUAUAUAUUUUUUUUAAUCAUUUUUGGAGCGAUUCUUGCCUUUUAUUGACAGUACAGAGUGAAAUGUGGGGAGACAGAGAGUUGUGAGGACGAACUCGAACCCGUGACUGCUGCUGGGUCGCAGGUUCAUACAUGGGGCAUGCUAACCUGCUCGGCUGUCUGCGUGCCCCAAGAGAGAUCAAUUUUAUUUAACUAAAAACGUCUAUGUCACGUUUUUUCCCCCUCAAAUCCACCAUCUAUCAUUAAGUAAAGCUGUAUCUGUGAGAGAGACAAAAACUCAUAUCUGUGCCUGUCCAUGAUAUCCACAUUCAAACAAGACCAUCACCAAAAAGACAGAUGUCUUUAACAUCCCAAUUUUUAAUGCCUAAAAUUAUUGCAAGAGGAAGGUGUCAUCAGAACAGCUGAGUUUGGACAGUGGACUAAAUCGACAGAGGCUGUUUUAUCCAAAAUGGACAGGAAUGUGGGGUUCCUCAAAAGAGCUUCAAACAAAACAGCAAAGACUUGAUUUAUUUUAACUAGAAUGGGGCUAAACAAUUAAAUUAUCUGCUGUGUGGCCUUGGCUUACAGGUUGUCAUGCACUGUGUGAUGUUUUUACUUGAAAUCACAUAUUCUCCUUCAGAAAUUCACCAUUUGAUAUAAUAUUAAAAUCCUGAAAUUAAAAAAAGGGAAGCUGUGGAAAAAUGUGAUAAAAAUAGAUUUUGAUGACUCAUCAACCAAUAAACUAAUUAUUAUUAUUACAUUUUUUUAAUUAUUUGACUGUAUAUGUUGCCCAUGCUGUAGGACGGAUUCCUCAUUGUAAAUGGUAAAAUUUGUAUCACAGAAAUGACAGAAAUGAGCCCCAUCAAGUUGAGAGUGCUCAGUGCAGUUAUGCGCAGCGGAGAGUGAAGAUACAGACAACCAGUGUUGCCAGAUGGGACAGAUACACUCACCGGCCACUUAAUUAGGUACACCUGUCCAACUGCUCGUUAACACUUAAUUUCUAAUCAGCCAAUCACAUGGCGGCAAGUUAGUGCAUUUAGGCAUGUAGACAUGAGUAUUUCAGAAACUGCUGAUCUACUGGGAUUUUCACGCACAACCAUCUCUAGGGUUUACAGAGAAUGGUCCGAAAAAGAAAAAAUAUCCAGUGAGCGGCAGUUCUGUGGGUGGAAAUGCCUUGUUGAUGCCAGAGGUCAGAGGAGAAUGGCCAGACUGGUUCGAGCUGAUAGAAAGGCAACAGUGACUCAAAUAACCACCCGUUACAACCAAGGUAGGCAGAAGAGCAUCUCUGAACGCACAGUACGUCGAACUUUGAGGCAGAUGGGCUACAGCAGCAGAAGACCACGCCGGGUGCCACUCCUUUCAGCUAAGAACAGGAAACUGAGGCUACAAUUUGCACAAGCUCAUCGAAAUUGGACAAUAGAAGAUUGGAAAAACGUUGCCUGGUCUGAUGAGUCUCGAUUUCUGCUGCGACAUUCGGAUGGUAGGGUCAGAAUUUGGCGUCAACAACAUGAAAGCAUGGAUCCAUCCUGCCUUGUAUCAACGGUUCAGGCUGGUGGUGGUGGUGUCAUGGUGUGGGGAAUAUUUUCUUGGCACUCUUUGGGCCCCUUGGUACCAAUUGAGCAUCGUUGCAACGCCACAGCCUACCUGAGUAUUGUUGCUGACCAUGUCCAUCCCUUUAUGACCACAAUGUACCCAACUUCUGAUGGCUACUUUCAGCAGGAUAAUGCGCCAUGUCAUAAAGCUGGAAUCAUCUCAGACUGGUUUCUUGAACAUGAUAAUGAGUUCACUGUACUCAAAUGGCCUCCACAGUCACCAGAUCUCAAUCCAAUAGAGCAUCUUUGGGAUGUGGUGGAACGGGAGAUUCGCAUCAUGGAUGUGCAGCUGACAAAUCUGCGGCAACUGUGUGAUGCCAUCAUGUCAAUAUGGACCAAGCUCUCUGAGGAAUGCUUCCAGCACCUUGUUGAAUCUAUGCCAUGAAGAAUUGAGGCAGUUCUGAAGGCAAAAGGGGGUCCAACCCGUUACUAGCAUGGUGUACCUAAUAAAGUGGCCGGUGAGUGUAGAAUCAUCGUACCAGAGACUCAAAAUUGUCAUAUUUUGGGGAACACCUGUCAUGAUCAAAAUAACAAUCUUAAUGUUGCACGAUAGUCACAUAUAGUUAUUCUGUUUAGCGUCCUUCAAGCACUCUGAUUUCAUGAUUGACAGCUGAUCACUCAAACUACGAUUGGAUGGAAACAUCACGUGGUAAAAAGAUGCCUUUAAUGUUCGCAAAUAAAAAACUAAAAAAAUAAAGUGUGGUGGACUGAGACAGGCCCAUUGCACGUUUAUGAAACUGUCAAAUUAUUGUACAUUUAGCCUUUUUUCUGGGUGAUUGAUUGUACAUCGUACAGAGGGAAAAAUUAUCGAAUAAAUUCAAUAAUUAUGGUACAUCUGGCAACCCUGCAGACAACGUAACCUUACAAUCAGAUGCAACACUUAUAUUCUCUAAAACAGCCAACACUAAAGAGAGUCCUAUUCAACUUUCUUCCAGAGUGGCUUUUAUUUCACAAUAAAAGCAAUCUUUGAUCAAUAUAAGCUCAUAAAUUCUCCUUAUUUGAAGUAGAUGAUAAAGAAAGUCUAAAGAGAAUUUUAAAGAUCACCUAAGCUUGCUUCCAUUAUUUAAAAUGGAUUAGUUAAGGUAUCAUGCUCUCUGCUCUCUUAUGGUGCAUAUUUAAGGGAGUCUUUUCCCACAGAAUACAACUGUUGCUCUCACUUUCCUCUUUCAUGUUGAAAAGAAAGGUGUGUUUUAUUUAUCAUGUUAUAUCCCUUUAUAUGCUGUGCUGUCUUAAGACUCACACUGUCACUGCAGCUGUGUGAAACUCCUCCAGAGGACUGAACUCCUCUCUGCAGACACUGAACUGUCACGUCUGCCCCUCUGAGAGCUCGGGAGCUCUCCAUCAUUAUGCCGGCCUGGUGUGUGCUGCAUGCCAAUGUGCUGCAUGAAUACACGCAUGUGGGUAGGAAUGUUGGGACACUGUCUUUAAAAUGUGUGUGUGUUUGAGUUUGUGUGUGUAGAAAAAGUUUCCUAACAAACAAUGAACACCCAGUCAUCUCACACAACUGGAAUCUUUAACCACAGCCUUUAAUUACUGUCCUGACAGCCAACACUCAGGGUAAAAGGGAAGUUUAGCCCACAGAAACCUGUGAUUUUUACAUGAUUCAACCACCGAUCAUCCACCUCAUCAAAGCCAGACCAUUCCAGGACUCUUGAUAAUGCAGCUUCCUCCCCACAGGAGUGCAGGCGAGCUGACCUGAGAGGCUGAGAGAUGAAUGAGGAGUCUGGUCAGACGCAUUCCUGCACAGCCACCAGACUCUCCACCCUGUGGGCUGCAGGGAGGCCUUCAGCUCUCAUUCCUCAGCUCUUCCUCUGUGUUUCCGGUAACUAACUGUGCACAUGGUCAGACCUUUGCAUGCAACAUAUUUUGUAUUUGGUAUAAAAAAACGAUACAAUGAUAACAAUUAGAGGAAAUUAGCUAGUUAUAGUCCUGCAAACAAUAUUCGUACGGUUGCAUUUUCCUGUUAAGUCACGCAAUGAGUUAGAAGCUCAUCUUAUGUAAUAAUGUCAUAUUGGUUUAAACUAUGUUGUUACUGCAACAAAUUAUCCAUUAUUAGGGCCUGAGCCGACACUGCAAGCAGCGGGCAAUUUUUCCCGUACAUGAAUUUUUUUUUUUUUUGUUGGAUGGUAGGGGAAGGUCCUGCCCUCCUUCGCCUCUGAUUGGCUAGAAGUGCUGGGCUCCAAUUGGUUAUUCCUUAUGGCUGUGAAACGUCAUUGUCUGUCAGGUUAGGGUUAGGGUUAGGAUUAGGAUUAGGAUUAGGAUGAGGGUUAGGAUUAGGAGACUCCGAAGUGUGAUAAUGUUCUCUAAUGUUCUGUUCGAUGUACUGAGCCGACAGCCUGCGUUUGGCUUGAGCAUGUGAUGACGUUUCCAGCUUUUCUAGCCAAUCAUAGGUGAAGGAGGCGGGACUUUCCCAUACCAUCCUCCGAAAAAAAAAAAAAAACACUUCCAUACACUGGUUCCAUCACCACAAGAUUUUAGUCAUUUGAUAACGGUCCAACACUGGACAAUUUAACACCAAACUUAUAUCCGUGUGUUAUAGCGCCAACUGGUGGCAGAGGGGAAUGCAUUUUUUGUUCAAUCGCCUGUAACACCUUUUCUAUGAGGGGAGGCAGCUGAGAUUUGUUCAGGACACACCUGAUGGGGUACCAGAUAAGCUAGAAAAUCAGCACCUUGUUUUGUUAAACUGCGACUAGGUAAGGCAACAUAACGCCCCCUACAAAAUUUCAAAACUUAAGUCUCACUGCUGUAUGUGACCCAAACCUAUGGAACAAAGGACACUUAUGUUGGACCCCAAGACAAAUAUGGUUUCAGAUAAAAGGGAUCCCUUUGUCCACAUGGGGCACCAAAAUCAACACAAACCAAAAGUUCCUCAGAGUAGCUCUAAAGCUAAAAUUUUCAAAACAACUCAAAUUUUUGUUUCGGCAUUUAAUAUGUUGCCUUUGCACUGUUUUCAAUUUUAAAAAAGGCUUUUAAACUCUAGAUUUGAUGAACAUAAAGUAAUACAGUAAUGGCAGUAAAAUUGACGUGUUUUUUGCAGUCAACUUAAAGCCUAUCUGGAGGUAAAAUUUUUCUUAAUACAUGGAAAAUUUGAGUGUGACAUUCCCUCUCAAAAACUAUGGCUCACCAACUCUCAGCAGAUUGAAGAAAUUUCACCUCAGAGAGGAGCCUGCUUUGCCCCAGAUGAAUGUAUAAUGACUCUUUUCAACACAGCUGCACAGAGAUGCUUUUUGCUCCACAGCACUAUUUGUUAAAAAUGUCUUCUGGCAUACUUGCACAUGUCUAGUGAGCGCAAAAAGUACGCAAUUUUGUGUAUUUGAAAAAUACUUUGCAGGAAUAUGAAUUAGUGUAUCUCAAUAAAGUGUUUGUAACUUUAUACUAUAGCGUAAGAGCUUUUUAUACUGUUAUACUACUUUGAUUAUAAGACUGAAACUGCUUUUUCAAGAGCCUCACAGUUGCAGAUGACGAGCAGCUUUUCAUAACUGACAGCAAGGUUUGUACAGAGGCUAAACCUACAAAGUCGUAGUGUAAGGUCUUUGAAUAAGUCUGAAUUUUACAGAAUUAUUCCUCAGAACUUGCUUCUAUUUCUAAAGCUCCAGAUAAAAACCAGACUGCUUUGAAAAACUAAAAAGUCUAAACUUCCAAAAAGCAAUCAAACAAACUGACUUUGUUGUCCUUGUACAAAGAAAAGAUCCCAAACUAAAACCUCUGACUCCUCCACUGAAAUAAACAAGGUGAGGCGAGAAUGUGAGUCUGACUAAUAAGAGACUAGAACAACAGACAGCAGACGGGAGAAAAUCAUCACCACCCGUAAGAGAAGCAUGUAGCAGGUCAGAAAAAACAGCAUGAAUAAUGGAGACAGAGGGAGUGAAAACUUUUAAACACUGCCUUAGCAACUCAUUUAACCAUGAUUACUGAUUGCAGGAGUUGGCUGAUAAUCAUCAUCUAUUCAAUCACCUACUUGAUGCUAAAAUUUAAAUACCUUUAAACUUGCAGAAAAAUCACCGCUGCGUAAUCACUUGAUACAUUUUCAGGCUUCUUUGAACAGCUUGUUUUAAGAACCUGAUGUCAUGCUCUGCCGUCCUAUUAGGACAAAGUUGUGGGAUAUAUCCACUAGUGUUGUGUCGUUCGCGAAUGAUUCGUUCAAAAUGAACUGAAUCUUUUAAGUGAACAUACUUAACUGGAUCACUUCGUCAAGUGAUUCGUUCAUUUCUCACUUAAGUUGAGCUGUUAGCAGUGCAGCUACCAUAGCAUACAGCAUUGCUGGGUGAGAAGCUGGCGAGCGAGGGACUGCAAGGGCUGAUGCCUCAAUCACUUGGUGAACGAAUCACGCAGUGAACUACACUCUCUGGAAUUAUUUUUGCCUGAGGGAUACACUUUCAUGGCCAUUGUUCUAACAGAUUUAGUAGGAUACAGCAUGUAACAAGUGGUGUAAAAAAACCCGCAGUUUGAGAAAUGCAUGACCGAUCCUAUCAUUGUGGCUUUUUGCGAGGGAACGGUGCAUGUUCAGUGUGAAUUCUUCACUGAGUGUACAGUGGGGUAAACAUGAACCCAAUUUACCAAGUAGACAAAUAGCAUAUCAUUGGACGGUACACUUAAAACCUCAUGAUUGGUAAACAAGUUCAUUUUUACAAACCUGUUUGUCAAAGCAACACAGCCACAACACUCUUGUCUCCCGGUCUCAGAAGCUAUGAUCUGAACUGAAUCCUGAACCAUUCAGCUGUGUAUCAGAUCAGGAAGUUGAGUCAAACGAACAAAAGAAUCUUUUGAACAAAUCUUUUUAGUGAGCUGAUUCUAGUGAUUCAGUACAUCUAAAAGAACUGCCGUGUCCAUCACUAAUAUCCACCUGGAAGCAAUUUCAACUUGUUUUCAAGUGGAUUCGCUCAACCUUUGCAUCUCAACUGUUCUGGAAACCUGGGGUUAUUAUAGCUACAAAGUCCUUCAAUGACGGCCUAGGACAACAACGUUUUUGUAUAAGUAUAACAGCAGUAAACUUAAUAUCUAACAUAUUAUGGGAAGCUAAUGUGUGUGGUUCCUUAAGAGUUCUCACAUAUCCUUUCAAAAUUCCCCCAGAAUACUGGUGCUAAAAGAAACCAAUCUUGUUGCAGAUUAUCUUAUUUUGCUAUGUAGGUCAUGAAGAAGCAUCAGUAAGCAGUGAAAAACUCCUCACAGUGCCUUUAAUAAAGCGAGUGUUGUGGCAUAAAUAACAACCAUCUUGUCGGGAUCACUGUCAGUGGGGUUUGAUGAACAACAGCCGCACUGACAGACGAUCAAUACAGAGCAUUUGAAAAAAGUUAAAAUGUAGUAACUUGAGGUUUCGCUUUGAGUCUCUCAGCAUGAGGAGGCAAGGGCAAAAGAAAAGAAGAGAGACAGAUGCUGCUUUUUCAAGAAGAGGAGGUAUGGGAAAUUUACCACAAGCCGCCAUAGCUCCUGAUUGACACAACCCCAAACCUCUGAGUACAAGCUGCCGACACAAGUCUCAUAGUUGAACGAUGAUGCCGGGCUACAUGGAGUCACCUUUAUUGACUGGUAAAUGUGCGAGCUAUACAGGCUGAUUGAAUUCAGACCAGACGGUUUUCUAGAAAAGAAUUUUAAAUAAGGAUGUAACCCAUAUUUAUUAUAUACAGUAAUUUUUAACAUCGUGUUGAUUGGGCAUUUCAAUGGAUGCAAUUGAGUGCACUGUACGAUUUUCUAUUCAAAUAAAUGCUCCACCAGUGUGAUCUAAAACAUGACUCAGAGGGUCCAAUCACUGUCAAUAUAUUAUCUGGUGUCGGGUGAUCCUUGUUUAAUGUGGGACUUUUUACACAUAACUUCAGAGAUUCCAGUUUGUUGUAUCCACUCUCUGAAACAGCUGAGGUUUCUGUGACACAGAUCUGAUUCACUGCACCUAUAUGCUUGGCUCAUAAGUGAUAGCUCAAUAUCAGAACUUGGUAAUAUUUAUUUUUGUUUGGCAAAAAGUGCAAAUUACGUCUGACAUUCCUUAUACGUUUUAUUGCACAAUGACAACUCAACCUGUCAACAACAUUUUUAAUUUCUAAAGUUUGAGAUUUAAUGCUCUACUUGUGACAAAAUGCUAUUAAACCAUGAAGUUUUCUCUGGGAUAAACUGAGAUUUGUAUUCUAGCUCAAUCAUGCUCAUGUAGACUGAGAUAUUUUCACCACAUAAUACUAUUUUAUUGCGCACUAUUACCAUUCCUUAUGCGUUUUAUUGCACAAUGACAAGUCAACCUGUCAACAUUUUUAAUUUGUAAAGUUUGAGAUUCUAAUGCUCUACUUCUGACAAAAUGCUAUCAAAACAAGGGCCAGAAUUUUAUACGUAAGCAUAAAUAUGUGUCAGUUCAUUUCCAGAUUCCAGUUUGUUGUAUCCACACUCUAAAAUAGCUGAGGUUUCUUUGACACAGAUCUGAUUCGCUGCACCUGUAUGCUUGGCUCAUAAGUGGUAGCUUAAACUCAGAACUUGGUAAUAUUUAUUUUUGUUUGACAAAAAGGACAAAUUACGUCUGACUUGCCAACAGAACUAGCUGAAAGCUGCUGUAACGGUCCCUGUGGAGACACAAGUAUUGACUAGACUGACUGCAAUACUUUCUCUUCCUGUGGGAAUAAAGGAUGACAAUGGAUUAGAUUACACUAAGAAUUGCUUAUCAUUUGCUUCUCCUAUCUGCUCUGUCCGAAGGUCUAAUGCAAAAAUUCAAAACCCUUUUGAACCUUAUGUGUUUUUACCUGUUUGCUACCAGUGCAUGAAUGGUUGAAUGCAUGGAUGGGCAGAAAUGUUGAGACAGACAGACCUAUUGGCUCCCAUAGAGGGAAACUGUGGCGUUACAGCAAUAAUUAUCUGAAAAAACAUCACCUUGGAGGGAUAAGUGCAUUGUAAAAACAUCCUAGCUAAAUGUAGAAAUGUAUACAUCUAGAAACUCUCCCCCCAGCAGUGUUGAUAUAAAUACUUACAUAUGUGAAAUUACAAGGGUGUAUUGGAGGUAAUGGUCAAAUACAGUGUUCAAUAUUAUCCCUAAAUGUCCACACUGCACCGAUUCCUUUGUUUGCUUUAACGAUUGACGUCAUAGAUAUUUCAGCUAGAUUGUUACAUAUAUGUUAUAUUUCCCGUAAUUUCUAAGUUAUUUCUUUUCACAGUGCAAAAUGUGGUUGCUAGGAGAUUUAUGACACAAUCGUGUGGCUGUUAUAGAUGAAAUAAAAACAAGACUCACCCUCAUGAUCAAUUAGUUUGGCCUAACAAUAGUCUGUUAACUGACACCAUCACAGGCUGCAGCGAGGUUUACAGACUGUGAAUGUGUCUGUGUAUCCUGCCCUCAUUAACAUUCAUGAGCCGAGUGGAAGAAGUUUAAGAUAUUGUGCUGCUUGUGUACACACAGAUUUUUCCUCCACAACUUUGUGUAUGUGUUGUGUGUUCCUGCUCACCCGAGGGACAUUACAGCAGUAUCUCAUUUCACAUGAAAAGGCCCGGGCUCGCGGGAAACUGUUUGUACGGGAGAGCACUGCCUCCAUCGUGCGUCUCCAACCCUCCCCGACUCCCCCCCACAUCCCUCUCCCUAAAAAAUAAAAAAGAAUUUUUGAUUACAGUAACAAGCCCAUAAAUUAUGCAGCAGGAGUUGAGGAUGAUGAGCUGAUGAAAGACAGCCCCUUUUAACCUUUUUCCUGGCAGAGGCAGAAUCACCCUCCCUUUUUUUGCUAGGCCACAUGCAGAGAAGGAGAGUUGGAGACGGGGGUCUAGACGAUAGGGUGAUACGCUCAGGGUGGGGGGUCUGCAAGUGGGAAUACAUGGCGAAACAUGAUGGCCUUGUACAGCAUCUGUUGCUGUUACUUCCUGUGCUUGGCUCUGUUUUACCAAAGACGGGAGAUUUCAGUUGAUGUCACCAUAUUUUGUCCCAAAAACUCUUGUAUGUGUGUGUAUAUGUGUGUGUGCAUUUGUGUGUAUUUGCGUGUGAUGAGGGCAUCUGGGAAUCUGGGGAAAGCUGUUGAUGUCGGCUUCGAUCAGUGCGGCUGCCGGGAGCGUCCUGGUAGGAAACGAGCGCGCCGAUUUCAGAGUGGCUGUCUGCUAAUGUCUUCCUGUGUAACACAAUACAAACUCCCCACCCUCGUCUGCUAUCAUCGCUACAACUGCAACGCACACACUCACUGACUCAAACAUGCCUGCUGCAUUCUUGUGCAGUCACUGCAGAGAAGCAGAAAAAGACAGCAUUGAAUUUUUUCAUACGUUGGACCUCAACGUCUUACCUUAACACGAUCACCUGAUGAAUACAUUUGCUGUUUUUGUUUUGAAAUGUUACUUCAUUUAAAUUAUCAAGUCUUAUCCAACUUUUCUAUGUUACUUGAAAUACGGACAAAAGUUAUCUUGUGACGCUUAAAGGCACAAUAAGGAGUUUUCUUGUGUUGAUUAUGCUGACCUCUUCGGAUGAAAUCAGUGGUGUGUUUUUCUAGAAUGAGGGUUGCAUCUCCCAUGAGCACCAUUACCCACUAUGGUAAAGAUACGGCAAUCCCAAGAGGGAGCGGGUGCAUUUUUCUCAGGGGGCAACAACAAAACCACAAACACAUAUUCCAUACAAGGUUGAACAACAGACAGUACAGCAUUGUUUUGUAAAAAUACACAAACAAAAGGCAUUUAUCCAUUAUUCCAAACAGCAUUUUUCAUGUUGCCCCUUGUUUGUUCAUGGUUUUUAUCUUUUUCUGAUAAGUUUCCAUUUCAGUCUAAUGGGGCGCUCACACCAAGCGCGAGUAAAAUCAUCUACUUGUUUAAUUUGCGCGAAUCUAGACACGUAAUUGAAUGGUAUUUACUCGCUUAAUUCAUGUGUCAACUGUAAUUUCAACGGUAAUCCCUGCCAAUUUAACCCGACGGGAUCAAGUGACAGACAAAGGUUUUUUACAAUCUACUAGGUAAUCCGACCUCCUCUCUCACUUGCCCCCAGGCGAACUCCUUUUGAUUCCAGUUUCGGUUACUGAAGGAAAAGGUAUCAUAUAAUUCAGGGCACCCACACACCGACACAAUCAGUUUGUCCUCCAUUUUAGAUACCAGUGAACAAACGUCCAUUUUCAUUCGUCGCCCAGCAACCUUCAUGCUGAUUAGUUAUUGUAACGCAAAUAUUCGCUCAUGUUAAGAUUCGCCCAAUUCGCAUGGAGAGAGUGAUGAUUGAAAAAUGUGUCAGGGGUUAGCAAAAUAAAGCCAUAGCAUCUCAACUCACCAUUAGCCGAGCUUUCUCAGUAAACCAGCUCCCUAAAAAACAACCAUGUGCUUUCUCCUUGUCAUCUGGCUGCUGUUUAACUUUGCUGUCCAGCUGAUGAGGUCCAAGCUCUUUAACUCUCAGCCUCUCCUGCAAAGAUCUUCCCUCAAACUACAGAGUUUUCAUUGGAAUAAAAUGUGAUUUGUAUUCUGGCUCAAUCAUGCUCAUGUUGAGUAAUUGAGAUAUUAUUAUUGUGCACUAUUACCAUUUCUUAUGCCUCUUAUUGCAUAAUGACAAGUCAAUCUGUCAACCACAUUUUUAAUGUCUGAAGUUUGAGGUUUUAUGCUUUACUUGUGACAAAAAGGAAUUGAACCAGGAGUUGGAUUUUAUUCUUAAGCUUAAGUAUGUGUCAGUUCAUUUCACAUGUUCAGGCUUUAUAUAAACUUAUUAUACUAUGCAAAGACAUGGCUUAUCUGUUCUCCACACAAUUAAAUUUUAGAUUAACUAAGAAAAACUUUUUCGGUGUUUGUUGUGAGGACUGUAGUGAGAAAACUUGUGUUAAAUUGAUCUCAUAAUCUCACUCAUGUUUCCGUUGAAACAGAAAAAAAUAUCAAGAGAGAUCCACACAUGUGCAUCUACACAUGCACCCGAGGAUAUCUGGCACUGUCCCAAAUCCCAGCUCUCCCACAAAGAGCCAUUGUAGUUAGCUAUGAUAAUGAGCUCAAUAUGCCCUCCUCAGGAAUGUGUGAAAACGGCCUGUUUCACUGUAGAAAUGCCCUCUUUCCCACAGUCUUAAAGAGGCAGCGGCCCCUCUUGAACAUGACUGGCUUACUAAUGUCUUUGUGCCUCUCAACAGGGCCGACGUUUGGCGGGUAGGCAGGCGGGCGGGCCAGUGUGAGAGGGCACCCUGGCUGCCGCCCAAAACCUACAACAGCCAUAUGCAGAGGAGGUGGAGGAGCAUCUCCCGAGUGCCCGAAGGUUAACUGCGGAGCAGCGGGGCUGUGAGCUCUGAUUAGUGAUUAGUGAAUGAGGGAGCAGGCGUCAGCCGCAGAAAAGCUCUUGGAGAUAUGAGCCAAGAUAGUUACGAAGGAGAAUGUGCCAAGAUGAAAACGC
This is a non-coding RNA of Xyrichtys novacula (pearly razorfish), 12841 nucleotides long. The record is from the annotation of a GenBank genome assembly. NCBI's taxonomy places the organism in Eukaryota, Metazoa, Chordata, Actinopteri, Labriformes, Labridae.